CCUACGGGAGGCAGCAGUGGGGAAUAUUGCACAAUGGGGGAAACCCUGAUGCAGCGACGCCGCGUGAGUGAUGAAGUAAUUCGUUAUGUAAAGCUCUAUCAGCAGGGAAGAAAAUGACGGUAUCUGAGUAAGAAGCCCCGGCUAACUACGUGCCAGCAGCCGCGGUAAUACGUAGGGGGCAAGCGUUAACCGGAUUUACUGGGUGUAAAGGGAGCGUAGACGGCAGUGUAAGUCUGGAGUGAAAGGCGGGGGCUCAACCCCCAGACUGCUCUGGAAACUGUACGGCUGGAGUGCAGGAGAGGUAAGUGGAAUUCGUAGUGUAGCGGUGAAAUGCGUAGAUAUUAGGAAGAACACCAGUGGCGAAGGCAGCUUACUGGACUGUAACUGACGUUGAGGCUCGAAAGCGUGGGGAGCGAACAGGAUUAGAUACCCUAGUAGUC
RNAcentral lists this ribosomal RNA (440 nucleotides) under uncultured bacterium. RNAcentral's name for it is "partial 16S ribosomal RNA". It matches the Rfam family "Bacterial small subunit ribosomal RNA", at positions 338 to 795 of the family's 1533-position model. The record is from RNAcentral.